ACUACCGGUUUGCAAGAACUGGACAGAACCGGGAGCAAGCCACCACUGAUUUAGGGAAAUGUUGGCCAGGAAUUCUAAAAAUGGGAUGGGGCAUGAACUGGAAGAACAAUUUUAAUCCAGUACAGAUAUUCCUGCAUGGUGACAAGUUUAAGAUGUUUUUCCAGAAAUUCUACAUGGUCUUCAUAAACUCCAUCUGGACCGCCAAUGACGUUUAUUAAUGUAUAUGGUCAUUUGGAGAUCACUUCACUAGGAAUGGGAAGAUCAUUGAGAACUGCCAGGAUGUUUUCCACUGCUUCUUCUGUCAUCAUGUGCAGGGCUUGGUCUGUAGCAGUGCCAAUGUGGGGUGUUAUGAUGACGUUUUUCAUCUGCAAUAGCAAGUGAUCUCUGCAGAGAAAGCAAGGCAGGAUAAUUUAGAGUCACCUAGCCAGGGCAAAUUGGAAUUGGAAAGCAACUGCUUCAAGACGGAAACCAACCAAAAGGGUACUAGCUUCUGCUGCCCAGUUUCUGCUAGGGAAAGCUUUCUGUGGAGUAGUAUCCAUACUAUCCAAGAGGCACAACCUGCAAACAGCCAUUACUUGCUGCUUUGCUGUUUCAAUCGCUCUUCCUCUAGAAUUACUCCUGCUAUUUCAAAGAGAAAAGGAAUCAAUCUCACAAAUGUCUGCAUUGGGAUGAUUGAAGAAUGAAAUGUUAGAAGCAACUGUGAUCUUUUUUUAAAGACCAAACCUCUAAAUUGCAUUUUGUGUACGCCAAAUAGACACCUUCUCAAAACUUAGAUUAUUUAUUACACUUUUAUCCCACUCUUUCUUUGAUAGCUCAAGGCAAACCUGGGUGUAUCAUCUCACAUGAUAUUAUCCACAUGACAAAAACCCUAUGAAAUUAGUUGAGUUGGGAAAGUAACGGGUCAAAAGUCAUCUACUUGGGUCAGUCAUUAAAUGGGAACCUAUACUCAGACUUCUUCAGUUCAUUUCUAAUAUUUCCAGCACCACACUACCUAAACUAAAAGUAAAAGGGUGGCAUAAAUUUAAA
This is a long non-coding RNA of Pantherophis guttatus, 1026 nucleotides long. RefSeq lists it as uncharacterized. The record is from RefSeq and is a predicted model, not a curated record. NCBI's taxonomy places the organism in Eukaryota, Metazoa, Chordata, Lepidosauria, Squamata, Colubridae.